RNAcentral lists this ribosomal RNA (253 nucleotides) under uncultured bacterium. RNAcentral's name for it is "partial 16S ribosomal RNA". It matches the Rfam family "Bacterial small subunit ribosomal RNA", at positions 524 to 776 of the family's 1533-position model. The record is from RNAcentral.
UACGAAGGGGGCUAGCGUUGCUCGGAAUCACUGGGCGUAAAGCGCACGUAGGCGGAUUUCUAAGUCAGGGGUGAAAUCCUGGAGCUCAACUCCAGAACUGCCUUUGAUACUGGGAAUCUCGAGUCCGGGAGAGGUGAGUGGAACCGCGAGUGUAGAGGUGAAAUUCGUAGAUAUUCGCAAGAACACCAGUGGCGAAGGCGGCUCACUGGCCCGGUACUGACGCUGAGGUGCGAAAGCGUGGGGAGCAAACAGG